GAUGAAGAACGUAGCGAAAUGCGAUACUUGGUGUGAAUUGCAGAAUCCCGUGAACCAUCGAGUCUUUGAACGCAAGUUGCGCCCGAAGCCAUCAGGUUGAGGGCACGUCUGCCUGGGCGUCACAUAUCGUUGCCCAAUGCCUAUUGCAGUGCAAUAGGAAUUUCUAGGGCGAAUGAUGGCUUCCCGUGAGCGUUGUUGCCUCGCGGUUGGUUGAAAAUCGAGUCCUUGGUAGGGUGUGCCAUGGUAGAUGGUGGUCGAGUUAGAACGAUACCGAUCAUGUGCAUGCUCCCCAAAAUAUGGCCUCUAUGACCCACACGCGUCUUUUGACGCUCAUGACGAGACCUCAGGUCAGGCGGGGCUACCCGCUGAAUUUAGGCAUAUCAAUAAGCGGAGGA
This 395-nucleotide unclassified non-coding RNA is filed under the name soil metagenome. Its description in RNAcentral is "partial contains 5.8S ribosomal RNA, internal transcribed spacer 2, and large subunit ribosomal RNA". The stretch from base 1 to 122 matches the Rfam family "5.8S ribosomal RNA", at positions 35 to 154 of the family's 154-position model. The record is from RNAcentral.